GUCCUACGGGGCGCAGCAGUGGGGAAUAUUGCACAAUGGGGGAAACCCUGAUGCAGCAACGCCGCGUGAGUGAUGACGGCCUUCGGGUUGUAAAGCUCUGUCAGCAGGGAAGAACGGUCACUGUGCUAAUCAGCAGUGAAUUGACGGUACCUGCAAAGGAAGCUCCGGCUAACUACGUGCCAGCAGCCGCGGUAAUACGUAGGGAGCGAGCGUUGUCCGGAAUUACUGGGUGUAAAGGGAGCGUAGGCGGGCGAGAAAGUUGAAUGUUAAAUCUACCGGCUUAACUGGUAGCUGCGUUCAAAACC
Molecule: ribosomal RNA, 305 nt
Filed under: uncultured bacterium
Lineage: Bacteria
Description: bacterial SSU rRNA
Rfam family: Bacterial small subunit ribosomal RNA
Source: RNAcentral